This 1001-nucleotide ribosomal RNA is filed under the name Lactobacillus helveticus. RNAcentral describes it as "bacterial SSU rRNA". It matches the Rfam family "Bacterial small subunit ribosomal RNA", at positions 44 to 1013 of the family's 1533-position model. Lineage: Bacteria; Bacillati; Bacillota; Bacilli; Lactobacillales; Lactobacillaceae. The record is from RNAcentral.
GUGCUAUACAUGCAAGUCGAGCGAGCAGAACCAGCAGAUUUACUUCGGUAAUGACGCUGGGGACGCGAGCGGCGGAUGGGUGAGUAACACGUGGGGAACCUGCCCCAUAGUCUGGGAUACCACUUGGAAACAGGUGCUAAUACCGGAUAAGAAAGCAGAUCGCAUGAUCAGCUUAUAAAAGGCGGCGUAAGCUGUCGCUAUGGGAUGGCCCCGCGGUGCAUUAGCUAGUUGGUAAGGUAACGGCUUACCAAGGCAAUGAUGCAUAGCCGAGUUGAGAGACUGAUCGGCCACAUUGGGACUGAGACACGGCCCAAACUCCUACGGGAGGCAGCAGUAGGGAAUCUUCCACAAUGGACGCAAGUCUGAUGGAGCAACGCCGCGUGAGUGAAGAAGGUUUUCGGAUCGUAAAGCUCUGUUGUUGGUGAAGAAGGAUAGAGGUAGUAACUGGCCUUUAUUUGACGGUAAUCAACCAGAAAGUCACGGCUAACUACGUGCCAGCAGCCGCGGUAAUACGUAGGUGGCAAGCGUUGUCCGGAUUUAUUGGGCGUAAAGCGAGCGCAGGCGGAAGAAUAAGUCUGAUGUGAAAGCCCUCGGCUUAACCGAGGAACUGCAUCGGAAACUGUUUUUCUUGAGUGCAGAAGAGGAGAGUGGAACUCCAUGUGUAGCGGUGGAAUGCGUAGAUAUAUGGAAGAACACCAGUGGCGAAGGCGACUCUCUGGUCUGCAACUGACGCUGAGGCUCGAAAGCAUGGGUAGCGAACAGGAUUAGAUACCCUGGUAGUCCAUGCCGUAAACGAUGAGUGCUAAGUGUUGGGAGGUUUCCGCCUCUCAGUGCUGCAGCUAACGCAUUAAGCACUCCGCCUGGGGAGUACGACCGCAAGGUUGAAACUCAAAGGAAUUGACGGGGGCCCGCACAAGCGGUGGAGCAUGUGGUUUAAUUCGAAGCAACGCGAAGAACCUUACCAGGUCUUGACAUCUAGUGCCAUCCUAAGAGAUUAGGAG